Molecule: long non-coding RNA, 1533 nt
Organism: Drosophila yakuba
Lineage: Eukaryota; Metazoa; Arthropoda; Insecta; Diptera; Drosophilidae
Exons: 4
Source: RefSeq, a predicted model, not a curated record
GAUUCAUCAUCAUCGCCCACAAUGUGAGGAAUCUUUGCAAAUCGUAAAAAGUUGUAAUUCCUAGAAAAAGCAGUAACAGUGUUAAACAACGGGCUUAAUAUACAACAUUCCAUAUGCAUAUUUCAAACACCAAUUAACGAAAUUCGUGUGUUAAAUGUUCAUAAUAUUUAAUCAUAACUAUGUAAUUUCAGUUCUGAAAAUUUGACGUUUCUGUUUUUGUACAAUUUUUACAAUCCAUAAGAUUAAUUAUGUAUUUUGAAAUUGAAAAUUCGAGUGAUUCCAAAUGCUGUUUGGGUAGACUUUUGGGAAAUCAUACAAUCCUUUAAUGUGACAUACAUAUAGGGAACAUAUUCGAGUACUCAUUUCAUAGACAUGUGGGGGCCAUAAACAUUGUAAAAUCAUUGCUGCAUUCGAUUCGGAAACAUGAACCACAAAACAUUGGCAAUAAGAAAGAGCUUAUUCCUGGCUAAUUUCAUUGACAUCUGAGAAAUCCGAAACGGCGACGCUGCUGGUGCUAAUUAAAUGGCGAUCGGGCAUCUCGCCGAUGGAAGGAAAAGUGCUGCUGCCGCUGGCGCUGGACAGAGAUACCUCCUCCCAACUGACGCCGGAGUCGCCCUCGUUGCCCGGGAGAACGGGUGUGACAUCGCCAUUCUGGGGCUCCUCCUCCGGAGCCUGUCCAAUGCUGAUAGCCGGUGCCCUGGAGCGUUUGCCAGGUAUCUCGACCAUUUGGUUGUUAUCCGCGGCACUUCGUUUGCGAUCGGGAAUUCGAUUCUGCGACGUGGGACUCCAGUCCAUGGCAUGAUGCACCAAGGCCCGGAAAGUAAUGCGGAUCGGCUCGCUCGGUGGACUGUCCAUGUCUGAGGGAUUCCGCCUGGCCAUUUGUGGCGAUAUGAUCAUCGUGGAGUUGUGCAAAGCACUAGGGUGCGAGGUCAAAAACUCCAACUCGCUCUCCUGCCGAAAUCAACGAGUACCAACCAAAGCAAAGCCCUUUCUAGAUCUUCGUCCUGGGGACUGGUACUAGCAGAUUCCUGCAUGACACUGGCUAACUCGGUCAUUUCCUCGAUAUCCAUGCCUUCCUCGUAAACGCCGGCGCCUGAGCAAAUAGUUAGUGAUAUGUCUCAGGACUACUAAUAUAGUACAUCUUACUUUUAAGGAAGUCCACUAGUCUUCUGUUCGUUCGGCUGCGUAACUCCAUUUCUAUUGGGGCAGAGAAAACAACUUUUGGAGCAAUAUUAUUUGGCUACAAUGCUCUACCUCUUGUUCUUGCUGCUAACGGAACUUUUUGCCGUACUGAAAUCUGCUAUAAAGCGCCAUAUCGAUAGUUAAGAAAUGGGAUCACAAUCGCAGAUAAUGGUCACACUUAGAGAUGGUGCAAAAAGUUUUCGAGUCGCGUGAAAUAUAUAAAAAAGUGUUUUUGCAAAAAUAUGAUUUUCUAAAAAAUGAUAAUCUUCUUGCUUGUUUUAUACUCAGUAUACUUCAAAUGUAUGUAUGAUUUUAAUUGAUAAAAUUGUGUAAAUCUUCCAUGUAAUUUAA